Suricata suricatta (meerkat) is the source of this 576-nucleotide long non-coding RNA. RefSeq lists it as uncharacterized. Lineage: Eukaryota; Metazoa; Chordata; Mammalia; Carnivora; Herpestidae. The record is from RefSeq and is a predicted model, not a curated record. The transcript is spliced from 3 exons.
AUCCACCCGGGUCUCACAGCAAACACUGGCCGCCGGAACCUGCUACCUGAUUUGUGGGGCUCAGAGCCUAUUGAAAAAGCAGGGCCCACGUUCAGAGCCUGCAGAAUUUCAGGAUGCUGAUGGCAGAGCGCUAAACCCAGCUUGAGGCCCCUCUCAGCCCCGGGGGCCCCGUGCGGCCAGGGCCGGCCGAGAAAUGCAGACGGACAGAGCCUUCACACAACAGCACCGGGCCUCCGAGUCCCCCGCAAGGACCAUGGCUGUAGGGCCGGGUGGCCGGAGCCCAGGCUGGGCCGGACGAAGCUGGCCUGGAAUCCAGCAUCUGUGGCUUUGGGUGAGAUGCGGAUGCGUCACCCCAGGCGCCUCAGUGUCCUCAUCUGUUCCGUGGGAUCAGAAGCUGGCUGCGCGGGACCACGGGACACAGGCGGGCAAGCAGGUGCUCAAGGGGACGGACGUGGCUCAAGAAUGCCCAUGAGUACGAUACAGUGAGGCCUCCUGACGCGGUCAAGAUCAAGGGCUCCUCCGCAAGGACCGGCAUGUGUUUUUCCAACCACAGAUUGUAUAAAACCUAAAUACAGA